Clupea harengus (Atlantic herring) is the source of this 1429-nucleotide long non-coding RNA. RefSeq lists it as uncharacterized. The transcript is spliced from 3 exons. The record is from RefSeq and is a predicted model, not a curated record. NCBI's taxonomy places the organism in Eukaryota, Metazoa, Chordata, Actinopteri, Clupeiformes, Clupeidae.
CCAGCCCGGAGUCCGCACACUCUACCAGGUCCUGGUAUCAGUGAGAGAUCAGCUGGAGCGCUUUACUGAGAAGCAGGUGGGCUUUGCUGAGCUGGUGCGGGAGGCGGGGCUCUACCUGCUGGCCAGGGAUCAGGCCCUGACAGAGAGAGAGCGAACGGGAGAGAAUGGAGAGAGCUGGUUUCCCAUUGGUCAAGUGCUGAGGCCCCUCCCGCGGUGUCCCAAGAUCCCGCCGGUGUGGCGGAGUCGUGUCUACGCCACCGUUCUCUUCGGAGAGUUCCUGAAAGAGCUGGCCGCUCUCGCGCAGGAGCACGCCACCGUGCUGGACCCGACUGGGGAGUAGCUCCACCUGGGAGGGGCUCUGGACACGCGGCCAUCUUUGUCCCACGCUCAAGCGCCCUCCUGAGCCUGACUUUCACUCCUUUAAAUGUCUGUGGAGCUCUCCCUCAACAUCCGUCACACUCAGCAGGCGUGUAACACUUAACAUCUGGAACACCCACUCAGAUCGUCCUCCCUUUGGUUUCUCACACUCCCUCUGUCACCUUGCUGUCCAUUCCACCUCUACCCCUUUCUCUCUGUCUCUCUCUCUCUCCCUUCUGCUACUCCAUCUAUAGCCUUGACUGACUUUGACUGAUUUUGUUUCAUAACUCACAGUCACCACGCUCACGUGUCCCUGUGUCUUCAGUCUCCCAGUCUGCACUUUCCUUUACUGCCUUCACAAUCUCUAUCCAGCCUUUACACUUGCAGAGACACUCUGGGGCAGAUGUAUUAACACGUUAGCGCCUGCAUAAUUCCGACACCGCGUGCACCUAAAAACAUGGCGGGUGCGUACGAACAGACCGCUCGUGGCUAAAACCGCAUUCUACCUGCAGCAGGAGCGCAGAAUGUCAAGUCGCACUCUUCUGACUUAUACAUAUACAUGCGUGGGAGAGAUGAGGGAAAAGUGGGAUUUUUGGGCAAAAUUAUGGGAGGAGAAGCGCCAGUGACUGGUUGCGUAUUCUGUUGUAUGCUUGAAAACUGCGGGGGACAGCGCACGUCUGUUUUGUGGUGAAAAUUGUCCCGGUGUAAUCACGAUUGUGCGUUUCAUGCGUGAAUAGGAGAAACUUGCAGAAACAAUGGAAGAAGUAUUUUGAUCAUUUGUCCCAUGUUAAAAAUAACUUUUACUUUUGUUUGCCUCUCUGUCUUGCCAUCUCUUUUCCACUCCAUACACUUCCCUACGUGUAAAUGCCUGACGCUGAUGAGUUAGUUAUUGUUAUAGUCGCACAAAUAGUGUUUUUUUUUUUUGGAGUGGUGUAGAAUUACUGCACUGUAUUGCGAUUAUGUUUGAUGACAUCUUAUAAGCAUCUAUAUCUAUUUCCUGGUUGACGGUUCAACGAUCCCAUUCAAUUACACCUGUAAUUGAGUGAUUCCAUCCAGUUGUGGGCUCCAAAAA